UACGGAGGGGGCUAGCGUUGUUCGGAAUUACUGGGCGUAAAGCGUGCGCAGGCGGUGAUGUAAGACAGAUGUGAAAUCCCCGGGCUCAACCUGGGAACUGCAUUUGUGACUGCAUCGCUGGAGUGCGGCAGAGGGGGAUGGAAUUCCGCGUGUAGCAGUGAAAUGCGUAGAUAUGCGGAGGAACACCGAUGGCGAAGGCAAUCCCCUGGGCCUGCACUGACGCUCAUGCACGAAAGCGUGGGGAGCAAACAGG
Molecule: ribosomal RNA, 253 nt
Filed under: uncultured bacterium
Lineage: Bacteria
Description: partial 16S ribosomal RNA
Rfam family: Bacterial small subunit ribosomal RNA
Source: RNAcentral